Molecule: long non-coding RNA, 333 nt
Filed under: Calidris pugnax (ruff)
Lineage: Eukaryota; Metazoa; Chordata; Aves; Charadriiformes; Scolopacidae
Description: lncRNA (ENSCPUG00000010101.1)
Source: RNAcentral
AUGCUCGUAAGAAGAGAUAAAAAGAGGUAUUUCCGUUUUCUGCACAAACGACCCAAUACUCUGGAGGCAAAAGCUAUCACUGUGGGGAUGGGGACCUCUCCUGUAGAUUACUUCUGCAUGUGUGACGUGCAUCUCUCCAAAGCGCCUCUUCCACCCCCGUCCCAACCCGAGGUGCGUGGGUCCGUGGCCGUCGGGCCUUCGCUGCGGGGACGGUCCGGCUGGGGCCUGCGGGGACAGACCCUCACCCCUCUCCCCCCUCACCCCCCCUCCUCCCGGGAAGCCUCAGGGCCACCAUCCCGGCGGCCGGACCCCCACCCCCGGGGCCGCAGGUGA